CACUUGAUCCUGAAUCGCGGCCAUAAAGC
RNAcentral lists this small RNA (29 nucleotides) under Bombyx mori (domestic silkworm). RNAcentral describes it as "ovarian small RNA-13069". The record is from RNAcentral. Lineage: Eukaryota; Metazoa; Arthropoda; Insecta; Lepidoptera; Bombycidae.